This 253-nucleotide ribosomal RNA is filed under the name uncultured bacterium. RNAcentral's name for it is "partial 16S ribosomal RNA". It matches the Rfam family "Bacterial small subunit ribosomal RNA", at positions 524 to 776 of the family's 1533-position model. The record is from RNAcentral.
UACAGAGGGGGCAAGCGUUGUUCGGAAUUACUGGGCGUAAAGGGCGCGUAGGCGGCCUGCUAAGUCGAACGUGAAAUCCCCGGGCUCAACCCGGGAACUGCGUCCGAUACUGGAAGGCUUGAAUCCGGGAGAGGGAUGCGGAAUUCCAGGUGUAGCGGUGAAAUGCGUAGAUAUCUGGAGGAACACCGGUGGCGAAGGCGGCAUCCUGGACCGGCAUUGACGCUGAGGCGCGAAAGCUAGGGGAGCAAACGGG